CCUUUAAGGUUGAACCACUGUAGUCACAUGACUGUUUUAACAAUGUCUUUAGUUCCUUUCUGGACCUUGAAAGUGUUGAUUUUAUUGCUGUCUUUGGAAUCAUAAACCUCUCAGAUUUCAUCAAAAAUAUCUUCAUGUGUGUUUUGUUGUUUUUGUACUGCAUGCAUGUGAUAUUUUCUGGCCCGAUUUUACAAAAAACAUCUGACACAAACCAUGUGAUUAAAACCCAUUUGUGCGUAAAAGAUCUAAAUCUUUCUGUGUUGAGAGGAAUAACACACUGAGUUAAAAGUAACACAAAAUGUGUCGUCCUUAUCUAGACACACAGAUGUGUUGAGAAAUAAAAAGGUUGUGGUUUUCAACACUUCGGUUUUAAGAGUCCAAAAACACCCAGAUCAACUAACCCUAACCUCCGCAAAACUGUGUGUCGACAUGACGAGAAUCAGCGCCGGUGUGAGUGUUUCGAGAACAGGAUUGAGACUACGUUUGGGCAGAAGAACGAUCUUUUGACACGACAACUGACAAGAAACUUGACAUCUGACAGCAUCUCCAGGCCAUGAACUCAGAGCACAGCUCAUCUCAGCCACACGGUCCUGGAAUCACUAAAGCAGAACCGCUGGAUCAGGGAGGGCAUUUCCUCUGUUAUCACGUCAUCAGUACAUCUUUGUAAACGCGUCUCAUCUCUCCAGUUCUUUCAGGUUCAGCGUUGACUGUAAGAUCUGCACUGACUGCGAUAACAGAUACUGUCUGAGCACCAUCAGAACAACAUCAUGCUGCUCGGAACCACACAUUUUGUCGUCAUUGGCGUAGUAUCAGCGGUGGUUUUGAUCGUCAUCAUCAUCGCCCUCACCUGCUGCUGCUUUAAGUAAAAAUGGAAAUAGUGUAUCAGAUCUCCAGUGAGACCCCGCCUGAUUGGACGCAGAUUAUACCGUGGAUGUGUUUUAGUCAUGGUUAUUAAAGACAUUUUUAACAUUCUUGAAUUUGUUUCAUUUUCAUUGUCAGUUUUACUUUAGUGUUUUGUUCCAGUUUUGUUGAUGUUUCUUCCAUUAUAUUUAGUUUCAGUGUUUUAGAGCUGUCAAAGUUAACAGAGCUGAAUGUAAAUCUAGUGUCAUGUUUAAUGCAGGUGGAUUGAUUGUAAAUGCUCAAAAUUGACUGAUUAAUAUAUUGUGUAUCAAAGACUAAAAUUAACUCAUGGUCAGUUUUAUUUUGUUAGUUUCCACUUUUGUUAUUUAGGUUUUCAUUAGUUUUCACUAACAGUGAAAUGU
Molecule: long non-coding RNA, 1262 nt
Organism: Megalobrama amblycephala (Wuchang bream)
Lineage: Eukaryota; Metazoa; Chordata; Actinopteri; Cypriniformes; Xenocyprididae
Exons: 3
Source: RefSeq, a predicted model, not a curated record